RNAcentral lists this transfer-messenger RNA (346 nucleotides) under Tenericutes bacterium HGW-Tenericutes-5. It matches the Rfam family "transfer-messenger RNA". Rfam says of the family: Bacterial tmRNA, also known as 10Sa RNA or SsrA, is named for its dual tRNA and mRNA-like properties. Its role is to liberate the mRNA from a stalled ribosome. Lineage: Bacteria; Bacillati; Mycoplasmatota. The record is from RNAcentral.
GGGGCUGUUUUCUGGAUUCGACAGGGUAGUUCAAGUUUAAUAAGCAUGCAAUCGGCAGAUUUAAAAAUGCAGGUUAAAUAUAACCGGAAAUCAAAAUUACGCUUUCGCAGCUUAAGAAGAAGUUGCGGGUUCAUCGGGGUUUGCCUAUAGGCUCUUUUGAACUUCAGAAUAUAGGACCGCUCAAUCGUCUGCAAUCUUAAGAUUAUUGGGUUAAACUAAUAGGAUUAGGCACUCAUCAGUUGGUUAACUAGCAGGUGUUUGCUGAAACAAUAUAGUUAACUAAGCAUGUAGAAAGUUAAAUGAUUGGCUAUUUUGGACAGGGGUUCAAAUCCCCUCAGCUCCACCA